RNAcentral lists this ribosomal RNA (437 nucleotides) under uncultured eukaryote. Its description in RNAcentral is "bacterial SSU rRNA". It matches the Rfam family "Eukaryotic small subunit ribosomal RNA", at positions 1224 to 1673 of the family's 1831-position model. The record is from RNAcentral.
CAGGACACGGUAAGGAUUGACGGACUGAAGGCUCUUUCUCGAUUCCGUGGAAAGUGGUGCAUGGCCGUUUUUGGUUGGUGGAUCGAUCCGUCUGGUUAAUUCCGUUAACGAACGAGACCUCGGCACUCCGAAUAGCGCGGCGGACGUCGCGGCCUCCGGGCCGUCUUCCGCACGAGCUUCUUAGAGGGACCGUCCCCCGCCGGGGAAGGAGGUGCGAGGCAACGACAGGUCUGUGAUGCCCUUAGAUGUUCUGGGCCGCACGCGCAUUACACUGACGCGUCCAACGGGUGACUCCCGACCCGAAGGGGCCGGGGAAUCCGCAAGGCGCGUCGUGAUGGGGAUUGAACGUUGCAAUUUUGUUCACGAACGAGGAAUUCCUAGUAGGCGCGGGUCAUCAACCCGCGCCGAUUACGUCCCUGCCCUUUGUACACACCGCC